Non-coding RNA from Picea glauca (white spruce), 75 nucleotides. The record is from Rfam. NCBI's taxonomy places the organism in Eukaryota, Viridiplantae, Streptophyta, Pinopsida, Pinales, Pinaceae.
GCAGUUGUUGUAAAAUAGUUGUAAGUAUUCCCGCCUGUCACGUGGUUGACCCGGGUUCGAUCCCCUGCAACGGCC